AGUGAACGCUGGCGGUAGACCUAACACAUGCAAGUCGAACGGCAGCACAGUAAGAGCUUGCUCUUACGGGUGGCGAGUGGCGGACGGGUGAGGAAUACAUCGGAAUCUACUUUUUAGUGGGGGAUAACGUAGGGAAACUUACGCUAAUACCGCAUACGACCUACGGGUGAAAGCAGGGGAUCUUCGGACCUUGCGCGAUUGAAUGAGCCGAUGUCGGAUUAGCUAGUUGGCGGGGUAAAGGCCCACCAAGGCGACGAUCCGUAGCUGGUCUGAGAGGAUGAUCAGCCACACUGGAACUGAGACACGGUCCAGACUCCUACGGGAGGCAGCAGUGGGGAAUAUUGGACAAUGGGCGCAAGCCUGAUCCAGCCAUACCGCGUGGGUGAAGAAGGCCUUCGGGUUGUAAAGCCCUUUUGUUGGGAAAGAAAAGCAGCAGGUUAAUACCCCGCUGUUCUGACGGUACCCAAAGAAUAAGCACCGGCUAACUUCGUG
RNAcentral lists this ribosomal RNA (492 nucleotides) under uncultured bacterium. RNAcentral describes it as "partial 16S ribosomal RNA". It matches the Rfam family "Bacterial small subunit ribosomal RNA", at positions 29 to 507 of the family's 1533-position model. The record is from RNAcentral.